CGUGUAGGCGGUUUUGUAUGUCUGGCGUGAAAGCCCCGGGCUCACCUCGGGAAGUGCGUUGGAAACUGCAAGACUAGAGUCCCGGAGAGGAAGGUGGAAUUCCAGGUGUAGCGGUGAAAUGCGUAGAUAUCUGGAAGAACACCGGUGGCGAAGGCGGCCUUCUGGACGGUGACUGACGCUGAGACGCGAAAGCGUGGGGAGCAAACA
Molecule: ribosomal RNA, 207 nt
Filed under: uncultured bacterium
Lineage: Bacteria
Description: partial 16S ribosomal RNA
Rfam family: Bacterial small subunit ribosomal RNA
Source: RNAcentral